This 76-nucleotide transfer RNA is filed under the name Bacteroidales bacterium. RNAcentral describes it as "tRNA-Phe". It matches the Rfam family "tRNA". Rfam says of the family: Transfer RNA (tRNA) molecules are approximately 80 nucleotides in length. Their secondary structure includes four short double-helical elements and three loops (D, anti-codon, and T loops). Lineage: Bacteria; Pseudomonadati; Bacteroidota; Bacteroidia; Bacteroidales. The record is from RNAcentral.
GGUUCUAUAGCUCAGUAGGUAGAGCGUCGGACUGAAAAUCCGCAGGUCACUGGUUCAACUCCAGUUAGCACCACCA